Non-coding RNA from Pelobates cultripes (western spadefoot toad), 940 nucleotides. Lineage: Eukaryota; Metazoa; Chordata; Amphibia; Anura; Pelobatidae. The record is from the annotation of a GenBank genome assembly.
CUAGUUUGCCUUGGGCUAAAUACGCCACUGACUGGAGGUGUGUUUAAACCUGCAAUGUAAACCUGUAUUUCUAACACUAUACUGUAGUGUCCCUGGCCUUAGAUAGGUCCCGCCCCUUACCUUUCACCGCCUAUGCUUGAUAACAGAGAUGCAGUAGUGCAAUACUCAAUGCUAUCUUUGCUCUUCUUGUAAAGCAUUUCCUAUGUGAGAGGCUAGUAGUGAGCAAAUUGGAAGUCUCUUCCAGUCCAGCAUCACACACAGUUCCUGAAGGAGCUGGGAGUGUUUUACUCUCUGUAUAACUGUUCCUGUGCACUGCUAUCAAGUACAAGAGGCUGACUGGACUACAGGGUAAACUGGCCAAGGCUCCUGGUACUCUCCCCAUUUGCCCACUUGACCUCCAAAAAAAGCACUUUAUAAGUGCUGAAAACAAGUGCAUGUAGGCAGGGGCUUAUCCUUGCAAAUGGAGAAUCCAUCCCUGUGGCUAAUAUCAAUUGUGUGCAAAUUUCUAUGCACAGACGAUCAUUCAUUUGCAGAGAGCAAUCAGAUGAUGCUCUAAGCCAGGCUUCCCCAAACGCCGGCCCUCCAGAUGUUGCUGAACUACAACUCCCGUGAUUCUAUGAAUGAAAUAGACAGGCUGAGAAUCAUGGGAGUUGUAGUUCAGCAACAUGUGGAGGGCCGGAGUUUGGGGAAGCCUGCUCUAAGCUAAUCAAUGAGCAGUAGGAUCGGAAACCUGGUUUCUGCAGCUGUACAUAAUAUGGAUGUUAUAAUUCUGCUGAAUAUGAGGCGCAGCAGGACCCCGGUAACAGAGCAAAUUGUUUUAAAACGGUUUGCCUCAUUACCAGGGAACGACACCAGGGUAUGUCUACCAUCAUAACCACUACAGCAGGCGAAAGAGAUUGAGAUUGGCGACGUGUGUUGCAUUAAAAUUUGACAAGUGAGG